RNAcentral lists this ribosomal RNA (499 nucleotides) under uncultured bacterium. RNAcentral's name for it is "partial 16S ribosomal RNA". It matches the Rfam family "Bacterial small subunit ribosomal RNA", at positions 28 to 507 of the family's 1533-position model. The record is from RNAcentral.
GACGAACGCUGGCGGCGUGCCUAAUACAUGCAAGUCGAGCGGACCGACCAGGCGCUUGCUCUUGUUCGGUUAGCGGCGGACGGGUGAGUCACACGUGGGUAACCUGCCCGUAAGAGCGGGAUAACUACGGGACACCGGCGCUAAUACGAGAUAACACCGAAGUCCGCAUGGUCUUUGGUUGAAAGGCGGCUUCGGCUGCCACUUACGGGUGGGCCCGCGGCGCAUUGGGUAGUUGGUGAGGUAAAGGCUCACCAGGGCGGCGUAGCGUAGCCGGCAGGAGAUGGUGGCCGGCCACACUGGGACGGAGACAGGGCCCAUAGGCAUACGGGAGGCAGCCGGAGGGAAUCGGGCGCAAGGGGCGAGAGUCUGACGGAGCGGCGCCGCGUGAGCGAAGAAGGACGUCGGGUGGUGAAGCUCGGUUGUUAGGGAAGAAGACGCGUCGUCCUAACAGGGCGGCGCGGUGACGGUAACUAACGAGAAAGCCCCGGCUAACUACGUG